GUUUCGUAUUUCUGGGGCGUUUAGUUGUGUUGUUAUAGUCACGAUGCAUUGUUGUGAGUUUUGUGGGUCCGGAUUGUGGUUUUGUGGUGUGGUUGUGUUGUUACAACCGGGAGGCAAGGCUUUUGCGUUGUGUUGUCAAGUUUUAUAUUUCUGGGGUGUUUAGUUGUGUGCCAAGUUUCAUAUUUCUGGGGCAUUUAGUUGUGUUGUUAUAGUCACGAUGCGUUGUUGUGAGUUUUAUGGGUCCGGAUUGUGGUUUUGUGGUGUGGGAUUGUGGUUUUGUGGUGUGGCUGUGUUGUUGUAACCUGGAGGCAAGCCUUUUGCAUUGUGUUGCCAAGUUUUGUAUUUCUGGGAUGUUUAGUUUUGUUGUUAUAGUCACUGCGCAAACAACUUUAUCAUUUUAUAUAUAUAGAUUUGGCAACAUAAACUGUGUUGAUGUUUUAGGCCUGACCAUGUCUUCUGUCUUAGGUACAAGCUGACACAAUGGAAUAUAAUGCUUGUAUUUGUGACCUUGUUUAAAAAAUAAACAUUCCUCCAAAUAUGAAAAAACACCCACACAUGUAUGAACAUUCUUGUAAACUUACCAAAUGGGGCAAAACCCUUUAAAUGGGAGAAUGAAAAAACUGAAGAUGGAUAUUCCUAUACAAUGCACCCCAGUCCAAAGUUGCCCCUUCUUCAGCUCCAUUCUGAAGAAGAACAUUGAUUUUAGAACACCAAUCUUGGAUCUCACUUUUUUCACGAGGCCUCAAACAUAUUUACAAAGCCAAAACCCACUGGAAGGGGUGGGUUAAGGAACAGGUGUCUCCUCACCAUCUUUGUCUGG
This 820-nucleotide long non-coding RNA is filed under the name Anolis carolinensis (green anole). RNAcentral's name for it is "lncRNA (ENSACAG00000045180.1)". Lineage: Eukaryota; Metazoa; Chordata; Lepidosauria; Squamata; Anolidae. The record is from RNAcentral.